UACUUAAUCUAUAUAAACUCAAUUUAUUUUAAAAUGAAUGUAAUGGAUGUAACACAUCUAAUACUAAGUUUCAACAACGGAUCUCUUCAAUCUCGCAUCGAUGAAGAACGCAGCGAAAUGCGAUAAGUAAUGUGAAUUGCAGAAUUCAGUGA
Molecule: ribosomal RNA, 152 nt
Filed under: Rhizoctonia solani
Lineage: Eukaryota; Fungi; Basidiomycota; Agaricomycetes; Cantharellales; Ceratobasidiaceae
Description: 5.8S ribosomal RNA
Rfam family: 5.8S ribosomal RNA (bases 66-152)
About the family: 5.8S ribosomal RNA (5.8S rRNA) is a component of the large subunit of the eukaryotic ribosome. It is transcribed by RNA polymerase I as part of the 45S precursor that also contains 18S and 28S rRNA.
Source: RNAcentral